CAGGCUUGGGUAUAAUUUUAUUUACAAUAAAAUAUUUUGUUGUUCAAUUCAGCAGAGCUUGA
Molecule: transfer RNA, 62 nt
Filed under: Pochazia shantungensis
Lineage: Eukaryota; Metazoa; Arthropoda; Insecta; Hemiptera; Ricaniidae
Description: tRNA-Val
Source: RNAcentral